GCGGUAAUUCCAGCUCCAAUAGCGUAUAUGUAAAUUGUUGCGGUUGAAAAGCUCGUAGUUGGACUUCUGGCGACUGCGUUCGGUCCGCCAAGCGCGUGCACUGUCCGCGGUCGUCGUUUCUGUCGACGUGGCGCGUCGGCCUUAGUUGGUCGGUGUGUCGUCUGUCGGCGAUGUUACUUUGAGGAAAUCAGAGUGCUCAAGGCAAGCGUUCGCUCGUGACUUCACUAGCAUGGAAUAACACAGAUGGGCUCUUUCUCGCACUGUUGGUCUGCGUCAAUUGAGCAACGAUCGAUAGAGACGGUCGGGGGCAUUCGUAUUGCGCAGUUAGAGGUGAAAUUCUCCGAUCUGCGCAAGACGUACUAAUGCGAAAGCAGUUGCCAAGGACGUCCUCUUAUGAUCAAGAGCGAAAGUCGGGGGAUCAAAGAUGAUUAGAUACCGUCGUAGUCCCGACCAUAAAUGAUGCCGACUGAGCUUCGGCGACUCGACCUCAGGUCGUACGUCGGCGCUCUUAGAGAAAUUAAAGUCUUUGGGCUCCGGGGGUAGUAUGGUCGCAAGUCUGAAACUUGAAGGAAUUGACGGAAGGGCACCACAAGGCGUGGAUGUUGCGGCUUAAUUUGACUCAACACGGGAAAGCUUACUAGGUUUGGACACCUUUGUGAUGGACAGAUUGAAGCUCUUACCCUACUGCGUGGAUGGUGGUGCAUGGUCGUUCUCAGCCCGUGGGUUGACCUGUCAGGUUUACUCCGGUAACGCGCGAGACCUCGGUCUACUAAAUAGACGCGGCUGUUUCGGCACCCGCGCUCUUCUUAGAGAGAGACUCGACGAGAGUCGAGGGAAGUCGAGGCAAUAACAGAUCUGUGAUGCCCUUAGUUAUCCUAGGUCGCACGCGCCAUACAAUGUGGCGCACAACGAGUCUCCUUGGCCGACAGGAUCUGGGCAAUCUGGCAGAGCGCUACGUGACUGGGCUAGACUUUUGUAAUUUUUGGUCUUGAACGAGGAAUGCCUAGUAAUCGCAGGUCAGCAUCCUGCGAUGAUUCGGUCCCUGCCCUUUGUACACACCGCCCGUCGCUCCAUCCGUGGCAUGCGCCGGUGAAGAGGGGGAGGCAGCGUCGGCCGGGUAACACCGGAUCGUACGUGGAACCCCUCUGAACCUUCGCACGUAGAGGAAGGAGAAGUCGUAACAAGGUUUUCGUAGGUGAACCUGCGAAAGGAUCAUUAUCGGCAC
This 1225-nucleotide ribosomal RNA is filed under the name Halimeda distorta. RNAcentral describes it as "SSU rRNA". It matches the Rfam family "Eukaryotic small subunit ribosomal RNA", at positions 576 to 1831 of the family's 1831-position model. Lineage: Eukaryota; Viridiplantae; Chlorophyta; Ulvophyceae; Bryopsidales; Halimedaceae. The record is from RNAcentral.